GAUGAACGCUGGCGGCGUGCUUAACACAUGCAAGUCGAACGAUUGAAGCUGGAGCUUGCUCCGGCCGAUUUAGUGGCGGACGGGUGAGUAACGCGUGGGUAACCUGCCUCAUACAGGGGGAUAGCAGUUGGAAACGACUGGUAAAACCGCAUAAGCGCACGGUGUCGCAUGACACAGUGUGAAAACACUCCGGUGGUAUGAGAUGGACCCGCGUCUGAUUAGCUAGUUGGCGAGGUAACGGCCCACCAAGGCAACGAUCAGUAGCCGGCCUGAGAGGGUGAACGGCCACAUUGGGACUGAGACACGGCCCAAACUCCUACGGGAGGCAGCAGUGGGGAAUAUUGCACAAUGGGGGAAACCCUGAUGCAGCGACGCCGCGUGAGUGAUGAAGUAUUUCGGUAUGUAAAGCUCUAUCAGCAGGGAAGAUAACGACGG
RNAcentral lists this ribosomal RNA (435 nucleotides) under uncultured bacterium. Its description in RNAcentral is "bacterial SSU rRNA". It matches the Rfam family "Bacterial small subunit ribosomal RNA", at positions 28 to 457 of the family's 1533-position model. The record is from RNAcentral.